GUAAAACUCUGUCUUCUGUGACGAACAAGCCUGUGAGUAAAAUGCUCAGGCCCUGACGGUAACAGACGGAGGAAGCCACGGCUAACUACGUGCCAGCAGCCGCAGUAAUACGUAGGUGGCAAGCGUUGUCCGGAAAUCACUGGGCGUAAAGCGCGCGCAGGCGGCGAUCUACGUCUGGGGUGAAAGCCCGGAGCUCAACUCCGGGACUGCCUUGGAUACGGGAUCGCUUGAGAAUUGGAGAGGCAAGGGGAAUUCCACGUGUAGCGGUGAAAUGCGUAGAUAUGUGGAGGAACACCUGUGGCGAAGGCGCCUUGCUGGCCAAUUUCUGACGCUGAGGCGCGAAAGCGUGGGGAGCAAACAGGAUUAGAUACCCUGGUAGUCCACGCCGUAAACGAUGAGUGCUAGGUGUUGGGGGGUACCACCCUCAGUGCCGAAGCUAACGCAUUAAGCAACUCCGCCUGGGGAGUACGGUCGCAAGACUG
Molecule: ribosomal RNA, 482 nt
Filed under: uncultured Bacillota bacterium
Lineage: Bacteria; Bacillati; Bacillota
Description: bacterial SSU rRNA
Rfam family: Bacterial small subunit ribosomal RNA
Source: RNAcentral